RNAcentral lists this unclassified non-coding RNA (359 nucleotides) under soil metagenome. RNAcentral's name for it is "partial contains 5.8S ribosomal RNA, internal transcribed spacer 2, and large subunit ribosomal RNA". The stretch from base 1 to 120 matches the Rfam family "5.8S ribosomal RNA", at positions 35 to 154 of the family's 154-position model. The record is from RNAcentral.
GAUGAAGAACGUAGCGAAAUGCGAUAAGUAAUGCGAAUUGCAGAAUUCAGUGAAUCAUCGAAUCUUUGAACGCACAUUGCGCCCGCCAGUAUUCUGGCGGGCAUGCCUGUCUGAGCGUCGUUUCGACCCUCGCGCCCGGCUUCUGUCGGGGGCGGUGUUGGGGAUCGGCCACACCCUUCAGUGGGAGGCCGGCCCCUAAAUUCAGUGGCGACCACGCUGUAGCCUCCCCUGCGUAGUACUAAAACCACCUCGCAGGCGGAGAGCGGUGCGGCCCGCCGUAAAACCCCCCAACUUUUACAAGGUCGACCUCAGAUCAGGUAGGAAUACCCGCUGAACUUAAGCAUAUCAAUAAGCGAGGA